GAAGCAAGCCAGACAGCCGCUGGCUAUCGCAAGAUAGCGGGAGGAAGGUCCGGACUCCACAGAGCAGGGUGACGGCUAACGACCGUCCGCCGUGAGGCGCGGAAUAGGGCCACAGAGACGAGCGUAUUAAGUUACGGUGAAACGCGGUAACCUCCACCCGGAGCAAUUUCAAAUAGGCACGCAUUGAUGCUGCUCGCGGAGCGUGCGGGUAGAAAGCUUGAGCCGUGGAGCAAUUCACGGCCUAGAGGAAUGGCUGUCAUAGCGCGCAAGGGCAACCCCAGGCGCCGUAACAGAAUCCGGCCUAUCGGCUUGCUUCACUU
This is a non-coding RNA of Noviherbaspirillum sp. Root189, 320 nucleotides long. It matches the Rfam family "Bacterial RNase P class A". From Rfam's summary of the family: Ribonuclease P (RNase P) is a ubiquitous endoribonuclease, found in archaea, bacteria and eukarya as well as chloroplasts and mitochondria. Its best characterised activity is the generation of mature 5'-ends of tRNAs by cleaving the 5'-leader elements of precursor-tRNAs. Cellular RNase Ps are ribonucleoproteins. Lineage: Bacteria; Pseudomonadati; Pseudomonadota; Betaproteobacteria; Burkholderiales; Oxalobacteraceae. The record is from Rfam.